CUGUAUACUUUUUAUAUUAUUAUAAUGCAAUUAUUAGAAACAAUUUGAUUCUGUCAGUUCAUGUUUUUAAGGUUUGUUAGGCAGGACUGGAGCAGCUCUUAACCUAGGGCAAAUCAUUCCCUGCUCCCGGGGAAAGACAUUUUGUGUAGCCGUCCUAAGACCCAUGAAUGUGAGGCCCUGUGUGAAUAUGGGGCACCACUCAUCUUUUCAAGGACUCUCAGCUCCAUCUUCUUAACUCAGGGAAUUCACCAAGCUCAGCAUGGGUUCCCUGAUACUGCACUGCAACCUGGAAGCUUUCAAGACAGGAAUCAAAGGCAAUCACUGGCUCAUCUUGUCUGAUUCCCAUCCCUCACAGUACUUUGUUGCCUAAUGUCAAUGUCUUGAAAACCAUUGUUCAUGUAUUUUUGUUUAUUUCAAGUGAUAGGAAGCAAAUUCAGUGCCUGCUAUUCCAGAUAGUUUUAAACUGAUAAUUUGUCUGUAAGUUUCUCAGUGAUUUGUUUACCCACACAGGUAAAACUCCUUCUCCUCACAGGCCAGUCCACUUCAGAAUACUUCUGGAAACUAGUUCCUCAUAUCCAUGUAGCACAUUAUAGCUAACAUUGUAAUUUCAUGUAUCACUUAUAUUGUUUUUUUUAGGUGUGUGAGGGGGAAAUAUGACCUGUGUCAUACUGCUAAUAGGAAAUUUAUCUUCACAUGAAAAGUGGUGCCUAGCACAAAAUCCAUUGAAAAUUCUUAAGGUCAACCU
RNAcentral lists this long non-coding RNA (745 nucleotides) under Marmota monax (woodchuck). Lineage: Eukaryota; Metazoa; Chordata; Mammalia; Rodentia; Sciuridae. The record is from RNAcentral.